RNAcentral lists this ribosomal RNA (498 nucleotides) under uncultured bacterium. Its description in RNAcentral is "partial 16S ribosomal RNA". It matches the Rfam family "Bacterial small subunit ribosomal RNA", at positions 30 to 523 of the family's 1533-position model. The record is from RNAcentral.
AUUGAACGCUGGCGGCAUGCCUUACACAUGCAAGUCGAACGGUAACAGGUCUUCGGAUGCUGACGAGUGGCGAACGGGUGAGUAAUACAUCGGAACGUGCCUAGUAGUGGGGGAUAACUACUCGAAAGAGUGGCUAAUACCGCAUGAGAUCUACGGAUGAAAGCAGGGGAUCGCAAGACCUUGUGCUACUAGAGCGGCCGAUGGCAGAUUAGGUAGUUGGUGGGAUAAAAGCUUACCAAGCCGACGAUCCGUAGCUGGUCUGAGAGGACGAUCAGCCACACUGGGACGGAGACACGGCCCAGACUCCUACGGGAGUCAGCAGUGGGGAAUUUUGGACAAUGGGCGAAAGCCUGAUCCAGCAAUGCCGCGUGCAGGAUGAAGGCCUUCGGGUUGUAAACUGCUUUUGUACGGAACGAAAAGCCCUGGGUUAAUACCCUGGGGUCAUGACGGUACCGUAAGAAUAAGCACCGGCUAACUACGUGCCAGCCGCCGCAGUAA